AUUGAACGCUGGCGGCAGGCCUAACACAUGCAAGUCGAACGGCAGCACAGAAGAGCUUGCUCUUUGGGUGGCGAGUGGCGGACGGGUGAGUAAUGUCUGGGAAACUGCCCGAUGGAGGGGGAUAACUACUGGAAACGGUAGCUAAUACCGCAUAACGUCGCAAGACCAAAGUGGGGGACCUUCGGGCCUCACACCAUCGGAUGUGCCCAGAUGGGAUUAGCUAGUAGGUGGGGUAAUGGCUCACCUAGGCGACGAUCCCUAGCUGGUCUGAGAGGAUGAGCAGCCACACUGGAACGGAGACACGGGCCAGACUCCUACGGGAGGCAGCAGUGGGGAAUAUUGCACAAUGGGCGCAAGCCUGAUGCAGCCAUGCCGCGUGUAUGAAGAAGGCCUUCGGGUUGUAAAGUACUUUCAGCGGGGAGGAAGGCGGUGAGGUUAAUAACCUUGCCGAUUGACGUUACCCGCAGAAGAAGCACCGGCUAACUCCGUGCCAGCCGCCGCCGUAA
RNAcentral lists this ribosomal RNA (506 nucleotides) under uncultured bacterium. RNAcentral's name for it is "partial 16S ribosomal RNA". It matches the Rfam family "Bacterial small subunit ribosomal RNA", at positions 29 to 523 of the family's 1533-position model. The record is from RNAcentral.